This 287-nucleotide long non-coding RNA is filed under the name Lepisosteus oculatus (spotted gar). RNAcentral's name for it is "lncRNA (ENSLOCG00000023161.1)". The record is from RNAcentral. Lineage: Eukaryota; Metazoa; Chordata; Actinopteri; Semionotiformes; Lepisosteidae.
GAAAACUUGAAAACCAAACAUCUUUAGCCCCCCUUUACGUAUAGCGAAAAACCAGUUACGGAUCGACCUGCUAGAUGCGUCUCUCAGGGAGGGAGAAUCGAACCUGAGAUCCCGGCGUUUCAUUUUCGUGGAGGAAAAAAAAAAGCUGUUGAGCACCACAGUCCAGGCGCAGUAGGGACUUGUACAUCUGCAGGCAGGUCUCGCUGUUCCGCUGCAAUGGUAAGAAAAGUUAUUUUUUCCACUGUAUAAACCAGAAAAAUGUUCAUUAAGAACUGGUUAUUUGGAAC